This 497-nucleotide ribosomal RNA is filed under the name uncultured bacterium. RNAcentral describes it as "partial 16S ribosomal RNA". It matches the Rfam family "Bacterial small subunit ribosomal RNA", at positions 28 to 507 of the family's 1533-position model. The record is from RNAcentral.
GACGAACGCUGGCGGCGUGCCUAAUACAUGCAAGUUGAGCGCUGAAGGUUGGUACUUGUACCAACUGGAUGAGCAGCGAACGGGUGAGUAACGCGUGGGGAAUCUGCCUUUGAGCGGGGGACAACAUUUGGAAACGAAUGCUAAUACCGCAUAAAAACUUUAAAAACAAGUUUAAAGUUUGAAAGAUGCAAUUGCAUCACUCAAAGAUGAUCCCGCGUUGUAUUAGCUAGUUGGUGAGGUAAAGGCUCACCAAGGCGAUGAUACAUAGCCGACCUGAGAGGGUGAUCGGCCACAUUGGGACUGAGACACGGCCCAAACUCCUACGGGAGGCAGCAGUAGGGAAUCUUCGGCAAUAGACGAAAGUCUGACCGAGCAACGCCGCGUGAGUGAAGAAGGGUUUCGGAUCGUAAAACUCUGUUGGUAGAGAAGAACGUUGGUGAGAGUGGAAAGCUCAUCAAGUGACGGUAACUACCCAGAAAGGGACGGCUAACUACGUG